This is an RNA transcript of Prunus dulcis (almond), 2642 nucleotides long. It is a transcript of the gene named heat stress transcription factor A-7a, with no coding region annotated. The transcript is spliced from 3 exons. The record is from RefSeq and is a predicted model, not a curated record. NCBI's taxonomy places the organism in Eukaryota, Viridiplantae, Streptophyta, Magnoliopsida, Rosales, Rosaceae.
UUCUGUGUGCGUGUGACAAAAAACUGCCAACUAUAUAACGGCUUAAACGACUUUCCCGAAGAAGAAAGCGCCCAAAUCCAAAGGCUUUAUCUUGCAGUUUCCUCCUCUCUCUUUCCAUUGGAGAGCUCGUUCUUAGUAAGAUUCAGCUCAAAUUUCUUUUUCCUUGAUCAGUAAAUCUCAAAAGUUUGUGCCUUUGAGUUCGUACUUAGCAGCUUUUUGACAACUUCGUCUUCUUUCUUGCUUUUCAACGACAACCCAUAUCUGUUUUGUCCUGUUUUUUUGUGUUGAACAAUCUGACCCAGAAUUUGAUUUGGAAGCAAAGUAGUAAAAUUGGUAAGAGAACCAAAACCCAUCUGGAUUUUGUUCAUCUUUCUGCAAUUAUUGCCAUGAACUAUCUGUACCCAGUGAAGGAAGAAUUCCCGGGUUCAAGUGCAUCACAAUCGGGUCCUGGUGACCCGGUGAUGAUGAUACCGCCACAGCCAAUGGAGGGUCUGAAUGACACAGGCCCUCCUCCAUUUCUGACCAAGACCUUUGACAUGGUGGAUGACCCGAGUACCAAUCGGAUAGUUUCUUGGAGCAGAGGAGGUGGAAGCUUUGUUGUUUGGGAUCCUCAUAACUUUGUUAUGAAUCUCCUUCCUAGAUACUUCAAGCACAAUAAUUUCUCAAGCUUUGUCAGGCAGCUCAACACUUACGGCUUUAGAAAGGUUGAUCCUGACAGAUGGGAGUUUGCCAAUGAGGGGUUUGUAAGGGGUCAGAAGCAUCUCCUUAAGAACAUUAAAAGAAGGAAGACACCUUCUCAGCCUCUUCCUGCACAACAAGCUCUAGGCCCUUGUGUGGAAGUAGGCCGGUUUGGGCUAGAUGGAGAAAUUGAUCGUUUGCGGCGCGACAAGCAGGUCCUAAUGAUGGAGUUGGUGAAGCUUAGACAGCAGCAGCAGAAUACUAGAGCCUACCUUCAAGCAAUGGAACAAAGGCUGCAAGGGACCGAAAGGAAGCAGCAACAAAUGAUGGCUUUCUUGGCAAGGGCAAUGCAAAACCCAGCUUUUAUGCAGCAGCUAGUCCAACAGAAGGAUAAAAGGAAGGAGCUUGAGGAAGCCAUGACUAAGAAAAGGAGGAGGCCAAUUGAUCAAGGACCUAGUGGUGUUGGUGGUGGCAAAUCGAGCCUAAAGGGCAAGGGAACAAACCUCAUUAAAUGUGAGCCUCUUGAAUUUGGAGAUUGUGAUUAUGAAAUGUCAGAGCUAGAAGCACUUGCAUUGGAAAUGCAAGGAUUUGGAAAGGCAAGAAAGGAACAGGAUGAAGAGCUGGAGCCACUAGAGAGUGGGAAAGAGUUCGAUGAGGGCUUUUGGGAAGAACUAUUUAGUGAGAGAUUUGAGGAAGACUUCAGCAUUCCAAGUGCAAUAGUAGGGGAAGAUGAAGAUGUGAUUAUCUUGGCUGAUCGCUUAGGUUACUUAGGUUCAUGCCCAAAGUAGAGCUAUCUAGCUGCACUUCUUCAGCAUUUCUAUCUCUGUCCUCUUCAGUUCACUGCCUCAUUGACCAUUUCUUUUUGGGUAGGAGGCUAAGGCCUCCAACAGUUGUUUCCAUAGUCUCUCAUUUUGCAUCUCUACAGUCUCGUCAAGUGCCAUUAGGCCAUAACUUUCAUUCUGGAUUUCUUGCUAUUGACAGGAUAGGGGGAUUAGCAAGCUGAUAUCCGUUGAAACCAUCUUUGUUUCUGGUGUUUCUAACCCUGCACUUGUUUAUUAAUUGCCUCCUUUUCUCAUCUAAUAAUGCCCUCUCUUUGUUUCUUUAUCUUGGUUAGGUUGCAGGCAUUGCUUGGACAGAAACUGUGCUAGUUUUUAUGAUGAUUUAUCUCAAGAUUUGUUGAGAAGCUGUUGAACUUGAAAAGGAGUAGCUGCAAGCUCCAAGAACCAUAAACAAAAUAUUGUUUUUGGAUCCAAGUGACUAUUGGCUGAUAACUUUGUCAGUAUGAUACUUUCUGUUACUGAGUACUGUCCUAUGUUGUUUGAGUAGAGAUAUAAACAGAGGUAGUUGGGUAAUAUGAACUUCAUAAUGUUACAUUUGUACCAUGUAGAUUUGUUCAUGUCGGGCAAAUACGGUUCUCAUCGGUCACUACAUCAGCCGUGGACUCUCAAACUGGUACAGUAUCACUCUUUAAAACAUCACCAUAAAAGAUGUGUUCCUUACCCAAUUGAUGUCUUACUUACAGUACAGAUGAAGAAAGACAGGAUCCAAGUAUCAAAGUAGAUUGACUGGGUUGAACUUGAAGAGCAUAAUAUGAUUCUAACUCUACAAGUAGGGUUAGAAUGUGUUUAAUUUGUGUGAGUAAUCAUUGAAACUUUGGUCUGCAAGAUUCUGUAAUUAAGCUGAGAUUUUUAGUGAGGCGGAUUAUAGAAAGUUAUGUGCCUAGCGGAUGAUAGAAAGUUAAUACUUUACUGGGAAGGCUUCAAUAGAAGUUGGACUGUUCCACCCUUAAGAAGCUUAGGCUAACCAAUUCAAGAAAUCACAACCCUUUAAUUUUUGCUUAGUCUAGUGUUGUGCACUUAUUAGUCUGCCAUGUGUUUUAACAUUCCCCAUGGCAGUGUGUGAUUGGCUUGGGAUAUUGUCUGGUGACAUCCUUAUUUUAUAAAAGUUUUUGUUGUAUUUGGAUA